Molecule: non-coding RNA, 662 nt
Organism: Struthio camelus australis
Lineage: Eukaryota; Metazoa; Chordata; Aves; Struthioniformes; Struthionidae
Source: RefSeq, a predicted model, not a curated record
GAGCUGCCGCUGCCCUUCGAGCACUUCCUGCAGAGGAUCGCCCGGAGACCCCGGCCCCAGCAGUUCUUCGGCCUCAUGGGCAAACGGGAUGCCGGAUAUGGCCAGAUCUCUCACAAAAGGCAUAAAACAGACUCCUUUGUUGGACUUAUGGGCAAAAGAUCUUUAAAUUCUGGAUCCUCUGAAAGGAGCAUAGCACAGAAUUAUGAGCGAAGGCGUAAAUGAUACGUUCCCAUGCAUUAUUUAUUAAACUUCAUUUGUUCCGAUGGCCAAUGCAGUGUAAUAUAAACUAACCACUGUAUGGAAUAAUUAUUUAUUUAAUAAUAAUUGAUGGGGUUUUUUUGAGUUGUACAUUGAAUAAAAUUAUUAUUUUUCAUAUUGUGGCAGCAAUACGCGUUGUGUAAGUGUGUUGUGGUUCUGAAAGGAAGGCUCCCUCUGGAACAACCGCCCUGGUGGUGUCUCACAACAAAGCACACUGUUUGAUAUGACCUGUAAAGUUAUGUUCAUUAAACAAAGAAAAGAUGCUUUUGUUCAUAGAAAGCGAUUCUAUCAGCUUCACAACAAGUGCAGAACAGAACUGAUGUACAGUCUAGUGCCUCAAUUUGUUUUCAUGGUUUAUAAUGUACUGUAAUUUCCGUAUCAAAAAAUAUAUUUGUAUCAUUGCA